UUAAACAGAAUAAGGACUCAAAAUUCCUUAGUCUAGACCAAGGAUUCCCUCUCAUACAAUGGCAGGCAUUUUAUGCUUGUGUUCCCAAGGAUGGCUACCAUUAGAGACAAAAAGAAAUAUGGAAUGACAGUGGCUGGGAACAGGCACCAUUUCCUGGAAAACCAAAUAAUGAAAAUGAGAGGAAAACAGACAAAGACAGAGACAGUCAACAGACCACUCUCGUUCUUCCCUUCUUUUUCUCGUUUCAUUUAAGUUCAUUUAUAUGGGCUUUAAUCAGAAUGGAAAUAACUCAAAAGAGGUAAAUCUCACUAUGCCUUCCAUUCUCUACAUCAGCCUCCCAAACAACAGGACAAAUACUCAGAAGGUCAAUGCCCCUUCACAGACCAUGGUUUCCAUCCAGUGACUCUACUGUUUUAGGAAUACUUCAAGUAGCUAUUCUGCUAAUUAACAAAAGUAAACAAACAGAGCAGAUCCAAGCAUUGUCUUUUUUUCCUCAGAUAUUUCUAUUUUCCAAUCUCCAGCUAUUCUCUUUAUCUUGCUACCAGGACUAUGAAUUUAAUCCUUGUUCUAUCCCUUUAAUUCUUGACUAGCCUAAGAGAGAAUAAAAGAUUUAUUAAUUCUGUCAGGAAGAAGAAGAUGCUCUGACCAUUGCAAGCCCAAGCCAUUAAUUUUUGCAAUUCCUUCCAUCACAUUCAAACUCAGUUUAAAAAAAAAAAAAAAAAAAAAAACUCUUGCCAACCCAAAUUUCUCUAUUACUCACAAGGCUACCUUCGGAAGUGGCGUUCAGGUCUGAUGGAUAUUUAAGGAGCACAAGUGACACAUAUAAAAUCCUUCAGUUGAAAGAGACUUUGUUUGGGUCAGCAGUCUCACAGCUUAGGACAUUGCGAGCAGGACCACAUAAUUCAAGAUGAGCAUAUCUGCACUCUGAGCUUGCUCCCCCAGAACACUCUGAGAAACAUUUCCACUGUCAGGACUACUAUCUGGGCAUAUUUUAUCUUGGGCUUGACUAAAAUGCUGCUGGGGAUUAAACCAGCCAUCAGAUCUCUGUCUAAGAGUUUGGAGGUACUUAGAGCAUAAUUAACAAGUCAUUCUUUCUUUUAGGACUUGAAAAGAAAUCUGGAUAAGUAUGUUUCUUAUCUUCCUGAAGAGCUAGACGUCAGACUCGGGGAAAAAUAUCUGUGUCUUUGUUUCUGCUGAAACAUAACAAUCCAGAGCUGUUGUUAGUUUUAUCUGUCCAAUGCCAUAGAAGUAGUCUAUAAAAAGAGCACCAGCAACUGUAAUAUAAUGUUAAAGAAGUCAAAUGUUCAACUUUUUUGAUUUAUCUGCUACUCAUAUUUAAGCAUGCUCAUUUUCAGAAUGCUAUAGUACAAAUACUCCCUCCCUUGUGACCAA
This is a long non-coding RNA of Sarcophilus harrisii (Tasmanian devil), 1392 nucleotides long. RefSeq lists it as uncharacterized. Lineage: Eukaryota; Metazoa; Chordata; Mammalia; Dasyuromorphia; Dasyuridae. The record is from RefSeq and is a predicted model, not a curated record. The transcript is spliced from 3 exons.